Long non-coding RNA from Magnolia sinica, 1412 nucleotides. RefSeq lists it as uncharacterized. NCBI's taxonomy places the organism in Eukaryota, Viridiplantae, Streptophyta, Magnoliopsida, Magnoliales, Magnoliaceae. The record is from RefSeq and is a predicted model, not a curated record. The transcript is spliced from 3 exons.
UCUCUCUCUCGCUGUCAUCGAUUCCUUGAAAGAAGAAAAAGAAAAGAAAAAAGCAAAAAAAUUCAAAAUCAAAAUCAAAAGCGCUCGUAUUUCGAUCAGACAGAGGCGAGCAAUUCAAUCUCUCUUUUCCUCGUUUUGGAUCUUCGUUUGGAGGAAUCGAAUCGAAGAAGAAGCUCGAUCUUACAGGUUUUCUUGUUGGAAUUUCUUUGGGCCCAAUUUCUUUACUGAAAUCCAUCUGCUUUAUUCUCUUUUUCUUUUGAAUGUGUUUAGUGAGAUUCUGCUGCGUUUUUCUUAUUUUUUUGAUUAUCUGAAGCUUUUUUCCGAAUCGGUUUGAAUCGGAUUAUUUACGGAUCUUUGCUUGAUUUCUUAGUUUUUUAACGGAAUCGCUCGGUUUUCGCUUCGAUCUCCCGAUGGGAAGUCGAAUUUCCUUUUGAUUUUGCUUGCAUGCUAUGAUUUGAUGCUUCCUUCAGAUCUGUUUGGGGAAUUCGCUCAGUAGAAGCUUCGGUUUUCCGAUCCCUUCUCGAAGCUGGGUCGGUAGCUUCCGAGAUCCUGCUGCAGCUAAGAUUUCUGCUUUCAGAAUGGAACUACUGAAGAAGUGAAGAAAAUUGUAUCUAUGCUGGACGAUGGCAAAGUACCCUCGGCGGACACAGUGGCUAAUGGAUUGUGUGCAUAAGCCAGUGGCAGCGAUUGCUCUUUGGUAUGGUUACAGAUGAUGACUGCGAGCUGUAUGUGUUCCUGGAUACUUGGUUUCAUACAGUUGGUUCAUAAUGUAUGAUUUAACAUGUGCAACUUUGGCCCGAGAGCUGACUUGUAGGUAUCCUGAGCUGAGUCAGCUCAGUGAAUCUAGUUACCUUUUUUUUUUUUUUUAAAGUUACCUACUUGCCUAAUUCUUUUAUUUUUCUGAAUUGGAAAUCAUGAUAUUGGGAAUAAAGGAACUAGAAAUUAUUAUAAAAUUAAUAUAAAGAAACAGAAAAACUUAUGUUAAUGUUAAGGAGUGUAAUCCUGACUUAACAUAUAUGUUGGCAUAAUUUUAUACAUUGAGUGUGUAAGAGCCAAUGUCUUUGGUAGACAUGAGGGAUACACAAUAUCCAUGAUGCCCUCUAGUGACAACUGUUCUGUUUAUAUGAUGGAUAAGGAAAGAUCAUACUUCUAUGAGUCUGAUUUUAUUAAUCAGAUGAAAGAAUAAUGGCCAAUAUCCUUUCAUGCAUUAUGUUUGAUAUCAAGGAAAAAAUCAGUUCUAGCUUCGAAGGGUACUCAUUUUCUGGCGAAGAUACGGGGAGCUCAUGUCAAUUUGGUAAUGUAAAUUUUACCUGUGGUCUCAAUAGGACAAUUGGUGCCCUAACGGCCAUGUUCAUGAAUCUACUCUGUUCACUGGUCAGCCUACCACGGGCCAUGGAUGGUCCAUAGCUCAA